GAUGAACGCUGGCGGCGUGCCUAAUACAUGCAAGUCGAGCGAACAGACGAGGAGCUUGCUCCUCUGACGUUAGCGGCGGACGGGUGAGUAACACGUGGAUAACCUACCUAUAAGACUGGGAUAACUUCGGGAAACCGGAGCUAAUACCGGAUAAUAUAUUGAACCGCAUGGUUCAAUAGUGAAAGACGGUUUUGCUGUCACUUAUAGAUGGAUCCGCGCCGCAUUAGCUAGUUGGUAAGGUAACGGCUUACCAAGGCAACGAUGCGUAGCCGACCUGAGAGGGUGAUCGGCCACACUGGAACUGAGACACGGUCCAGACUCCUACGGGAGGCAGCAGUAGGGAAUCUUCCGCAAUGGGCGAAAGCCUGACGGAGCAACGCCGCGUGAGUGAUGAAGGUCUUCGGAUCGUAAAACUCUGUUAUUAGGGAAGAACUAAUGUGUAAGCAACUAUGCACGUCUUGACGGUACCUAAUCAGAAAGCCACGGCUAACUACGUG
This 497-nucleotide ribosomal RNA is filed under the name uncultured bacterium. RNAcentral describes it as "partial 16S ribosomal RNA". It matches the Rfam family "Bacterial small subunit ribosomal RNA", at positions 28 to 507 of the family's 1533-position model. The record is from RNAcentral.